This is a long non-coding RNA of Mus musculus (house mouse), 11449 nucleotides long. RefSeq annotates it as predicted gene, 41361. The record is from RefSeq and is a predicted model, not a curated record. NCBI's taxonomy places the organism in Eukaryota, Metazoa, Chordata, Mammalia, Rodentia, Muridae. The transcript has 4 exons.
ACCUCCUGGGGAAGGAAGAACAACUUUGAGGAGCCCAUCCACCCAGCAUCCAGCGAUGCUCACCUUUGCCACUCAUAACUCCCUUGUUCACAGCCCAACAUAAAAUUCCCAAGUCCACAGUAGGAGACACUGUUCCCAGAGGCGACCAGAAGCAACUGUCACUGAGAGCCAGACAAGGCGGUGGGGGGUGGGGGUCCUCCUUACUGGUAUUUCCUGCUAAGACAGGGAGGACCUAUCUGUGGACCCUGGACUCACCACUGGCCCCUGGGGGACUUGGCAUCUAAGAGAAGAGAGAGCAGAGGACAGGGCACAUGUGCCAAUGGGAGGAGCCUGCCAGCCUUCCCACCUCUGUUCCCCUUUGCAUUCUUGGCCUUACAACAAACAGCACUUCCUGUGGUUAUUCUCUUGGCUGUGUCCUGUCCCCACCUCCGUUCUCACCAGUGGAGUGCUGAGAUUACAGAUGUUCGUUCAUGCCUUACCUAUGUCACAGGGAACUGAAGGCAGCACGCUUGUAUGACAGACCUAGUACCCCAUUGAGCCAUCUCAUCUGUCUCUCCAUCCAUCCACCCACCUACCUUUCUGUUUUUCUCUUGGUGGUCUCAGGGUUAUUCUUUCCCAAUCAGCAAGGACCCCAGCACUCCUACAGUGAGAAGCGAGAAGGCUUGCUAUGCUGGACCACACAAUGGAAACAAGAUGGGCCCUGUCUCAGCAAGGGAAGAGAGAACAGACUCCCAAAGUUGUCCUCUGACCGCCACAGCCAUGCCAAGGCACACUCACCUGCACGACAAGCACACGGAAUUGGUUAAUGUUUUAAUUGGAGAGAUGGCUGAGUUGAUAAAACGCCUGAGGACCUGAGUUUGACUCCCCAGCAUCAGGAUCAAGAUGUAGAACUCUGGCUCCUCCAUCACCAAGUCUGCCUGCACGCUGCCAUGCUUCCUGCCAUGAUGAUAAUGGACUAAACCUCCGAAACGCAAUGGAAGCCCUAACUAAGAUGUUCAUGAAAACCGGUAUCAAACUUGCUGAAUACAUCUGAAGAUCUAUGUUCCAUCCUUGGAGCCCACAGUGAAAGGAGAGAACCGACUCCUGAAAGCUGACCUCUGACCUCCACCGAUGCACCGGGGCAUGUAGGUAUCCACACACAAUAUAAUAACCAAUAACAUAAUAUUUAGUGAAAAGAAGGCUGGGGACGUACCUCAGAGGUACAGUGCUUCUCUGAUGUGUUUGAGGCCUACCAGAAAAAGGAAUGUUGGCAUUUUCGGUGCAGAUGAGGAAAAGAAGUCUGGAGCAGGCAGGUCAUCUGUAGGAGGCUGCCCACUCAUCCCCACAUCCUACCGCUGCUGAAGGAGGAAAAGCCAUAGAAUGCCCAGCCCUUCCGUGUCUGAUCCCAGAAACCCAGGGCCAAGGGGGCAGUGCCUUGCCUCUCUGUGCCUCAGUUUCCUCGAGUCUAACACUGGAAUGACCGCAGGCAAUCAAUCAUGACCUCUGCUGCUCCUUCCCAGGUUCCUGUCCUGAACCCUGAAUUGAGCUGGUUCCUUUAAAAGAGAUCCCACCAAGCUGGGCGUGGUGGCGCACGCCUUUAAUCCCAGCACUUGGGAGGCAGAGGCAGGUGGAUUUCUGAGUUCAAGGCCAGCCUGGUCUACAGAGUGAGUUCCAGGGCAGCCAGGGCUACACAGAGAAACCCUGUCUCAAAAAAACAGAGAGAGAGAGAGAGAGAGAGAGAGAGAGAGAGAGAGAGAGAGAGAGAGAGAGAGAGAGAGAGAGAGAGAGAAAGAAGAAGAAGAAGAAGAAGAAGAAGAAAGAAGAAGAAGAAGAAGAAGAAGAAGAAGAAGAAGAAGAAGAAGAAGAAGAAGAAGAAGAAGAAGAAGAAGAAGAAGAAGAAGAGAGACAGAGAGAGAGACCCCACUAUAGAAGGCCCCUUAGAAGGGUCAGGAGUCCCCGUGAGGAAGACAUUGAAGGACAUGAACUACAUUAGCUGCUUUUCUGUCCCUGUGAUCAAGUGGCCUGAAAGGAGAUUUUGUUUUGUUCGAGACAGGGUUGCCCUGUGUAACCAUUCUGGAGGUCCGGAAAUUCACUUUGUAGACCCGGCUGGCUUUGAACUCACAUAGACCUGCCUGCCUCUGCCUCUGCCUCCCAGGCACUGUGGUUAAAGAUGUGAGCCACCACGCCUGGCUUGAGAUUCAUUUUUGUUUGUGGUGUUAAAGAGGAGGUAGGAGGAACAGAGAGCACUUUGCAUACAGUGGCUUAGGAUGCAGACAAGGAAACUGCCCGUGGGACUGUCUCUUUCUUCCUUAACAGGCCCCAGUCUACCAGACAGCCUCAAGCACGUGCAAGGCAGGUCUCUCCUGUGUUCAUUCUCUCUGAAAACAUCCUCAUAGACACGCCCAGAGGUGUCCCUCCAUCUCCGGGGUGAAUCGAAAGCCAGUUAAGUUGACACUUGUCAGCCAUUGUUCUGGGUGUGAUGGCAUAGCCUUUAACCCCAGAACUCGGGACACUGAUGCAGGAGGGUCUACCGUACAGUCAAAGCCAGCCUGACUUACCUCAUGAGUUCCAGACCAAUCAAUGUCAUAUAGACUCUGGAGAAGAAAAAAAAAAUGUUAACUUUCACAAGAAUGGUUAAGAGAGAGCACCAUUCCAGACUGGAGGAGGAGCAAAUACAGAGGCCCAGUGGUGGGGACAGUUUGCUCAUUAAAGAAGAGGACAAGGGGGAAGUGAGCAAGGAGGUCAGUGGCAGGGGAUGUGUCAGACAAGCCAGGGUACUGCCUGCUUCCCAAUUCCCUCCCCACUGUGUGACCUUUGGCCCCACCUACCUCUCACUCUAGCCUGGAUUUCCCCUUCCCUUUGUGGGUGGGAAGGCAGCAGCUACAUCCUUUCCUAGAUGGUGCCCUGGGUGGCCUCAUCCAUCCUUCCAGAGAGGUGUGGGGACCCCAGCAGCCACUGUCCCUGCAGCUCCCUCUCUCUUUUGUUGUUCACAGCUUCCUAGGAGCUUAGGACUCACAACACAGAGCUUAGGACUCACCCAGCCUACAGUGUCCCUCCUGCCCUUCUCUGGCUAAUCAGACCUGUUCUGUGCCCUGGUCAUCCUGGGGUAGGAACAGAGGGUGAGUCUUAAUGUCUAUCCCCCAAGGACUGGCACAGGACUGGUCUCUGAGAAGCAUCUUGAUGGACGGACAUGAACGGAUUGGGCACUGUGUCAGAACAAGAAACCAGGGUCCCCCUGAUAGUUGACUGCGCUCAUGUUCAUGGGCAAAGAGCUCCUUCCCUAAUUUAGGAGUCUAGAGCCACGCUGGGCCCCCACAUUAAUCUGCAGGGACCUUGGGAAGCCUUGGGCUUUAUGAGAACAGAGAAGUUAGAAGAGUCUCAGCUCUCAAAGCACAAGCCCCAAGGUUGGAUGUGGAGCGCACAGCCUGGGUCAAAGCCUGGCCUUGGUCACUGUCAGCUGUGUGAUGUCAUAUGAUUUACUUUAAUAUCUCUGAGCUUGUUUCUAUGGCUGAAUGGGCUGAGCCUUAGUGUCUAUCUCAAGGAUUCCCGAGUGUUUAUGGGAUGAUGCAACAGAAACACUAUCACACAGGAGUCAAAGUUAAGUCUUAGGGGUGUGUGUGUGUGUGUGUGUGUGUGUGUGUGUGUGUGUGUGUGUGUGUGUAAGUUGUGUAUGUGGGGGGGAUGGUGUGAGGGGGUAGGUUGUAUGUGGGUGUGUGGUAUAUGUGUGUAUGUGUGUGUGGUGUGUAUGUGUGUGGUGUAUGUAUGGUGUAUGUGUAUGGUAUGUGUGUGUAUAUGUGUGUGGGGUGUAUGUGGUAUGAUUGUGUGUAUGUGUGUGUGGUGUAUAUAUGUGUGGCACGUGUGUUUAUGUGGUGUGUGUAUAUGUGUGUGUGAUGUAUGUGUUUGUAUAUGUGGGGGGAUUGUGUGUAUGUGUGUUGUAUGUGUGUUUGUUUGUAUGAAUGGGUUUGUAUAAGGGGGUGUUUGUGUGUGUAUAUGAAUAGGGGGUAUGAUAUGUAUGUGUGUGGAAUAUAUGUAUGAUGUAUGAGUGUGUGUGUGUUCAGGAAUCAGACAUGCCUGUACCUAAUAACUGCAGCAGAGCAGCAGACUGGCUGUAUCCCAGGCUGCUGUUCUGAGGUUUCUACAGUGUCUGGAAGUGCAGGAAGACACGUUGGCAGUGUGGCAGUGACAGGCAUCGCUAGCUGAGAGCAUGCUUGUUCAGGAUGUGUGUGGCCUGUCUGUACACAGGGUCUCUGUGGACAUCCACACUGCUACCCAGAGGCAGCCUCCACUCUGCCCUCAUGCCCACCUUCUGCAAGCAGAUUGUAUCACUGAGAACUGAGAGGGACUCCGAGGACAAAAGUUCUCAGUGGUGUGAGCCUCUAGAGCCCUGGGGACAGCCUUGCACACACACACUCUACUCCAGGGACAGGGCUGGAAACAAUGUAGAAUAGACAGGAGAGGUGUCAGCGACACCAGUGCAAAGAACAGCCUCUUGUACCCUUGUCCCUGACUACAAGGGCAUGGGGACACUUAGAGCAUUUAUGGACCCACAGUCCUCAGUGCAAAGCCUUCAGAGCAGGGACACCGAGGAACAGGGACGUUAAGUUACUCUCACCUAAGGUCACACAGAUGUAAAGGAGAAACCAGGAUUCUGAUUCCUGACUGUGUGCCUCAACUCCCUCCCAGCGCCCCCAGGAUGUGAUUCUGGAAGCUACCCCAUUUCCACCUCCUAGGACUCCCUGGCGAGACACUGACAUCGUUCUGAGUGUCUGGUGGCAGAAUAGCUCUUCUAGAGAACACAAUAACGACACUAUUUAGGCCACUCUCUCAUCCUGUUCUUUGCCCUAACCCAUUGGGCAGAAAUGACUACUGAGUCACAAAGCACUUGUCCAGGAACACAAAGGCUGUUCUGAUUCUGAGCCUUGGGCCACCUCCAAACCCAGAACUGGGCCCCCGGAUGCCAGUUCCCCUAGCACCUGGGCAGAUCGUGGUUGCUCACCCCCAAAGUCUAAAUUCUCGUUUUUAAUUUGACUAUAAAAGGCAUGAUACAUGGGUGCUUGGGAAACUCUGAAAAAUGCAGAAAAGUCAAAAUAAGGAAGAAAGCUCACCACCCAUAGCCCCACCCCCGGGCUCAGUCAUUGUUAGGGCUUGAUGUAUUUCCGUCCAUAGUGUUCUGUUUGACGACUGUUUUAAAAAAGCACAGCUGAGAUCACACUGUAUAUUAAAGGGGGGAGGAGCCCACAGUAGUAUCCUGCUUUUCUGGCCCGCCAUUUUUAUCCCAGGCUCUUUUUUGGGCGAUUUUACCUCCGGCCUGGCUUCCUUUCCCUGUCUCAGAACCUCAUUUCUAUUGGCUGCCUAAUAUUUUAUCAAGUGAAAGUUCCAUGGUUGACUUAGCCGUUCCCUUGUUGAUGGACACCUCCAUUAUUUCCAGUUUGGGGGAGUGACAGAUAAUGAGCCGUGUGUGAUUGGUAUCUUUGUAUGGAAAGUGUCCUGUUUUCCACAGCUAGGGCUAGCUCCUUAGCUGGAAUGGAAUUCCUGGGUUGGUGACUCAUGUGUGCCCUGGAACCCUUGGCCCAAUAGCCUCCCAGAGGACCUGGCCAUCCAUGCCUGCUCAACCCAGAGGUGGCCAGAGUGCCUGCGGCAGCUUGGACUGUGGGCAGAGCUGUUCCACUUCUUCUUCUGCAGCUCAUUUGUCUCCUCCAGUCAAUCUCACCCUGUUCACUCUCAUUCUGCUCAGUCUCUCAUUCUGAUGCAUAAGGGGAAACCAGGCACAGGUUUAGACUCCAGGAUACUUCAGGGACCUGACCAUAGAAAAGAAGGGAGAGAAGAAAGGGCAUGAGCAGAAGGAAGGCCCAGAAGACACUGGACCUGAAAUUUGGUUAUAUGCAAAUCAAGGUGUUUUGUGGCUCACCAUCUCAUUUGCAUGCCUCCCCAGGAGAGUAGGCAGGCAGAAGUAACAUAGACUUGCUUUAAAACUUGAUGGAAACCAGGCAGUGGUGGCUGGCGCACGCCUUUAAUCCCACCCAACACUUGGGAGGCAGAGGCAGGCAGAUCUCUGAGUUUGAGGCCAGCCUGGUCUACAGAAUGAGUUCCAAAACAAACAAACAAACAAACAAAACAAAACUUGAUGGAAACUGAGCAGUAAUGUAGCACACACUUUUGAUUCCAGCACACAGGAGGCUGAGGCAGGUGGAUCGCCAGGAGUUCCAAGGCCAGCCUGAUCUACAGAGUAAGUAUCAAGACAGUCAGGGAUAUACAGAAAAAUCCUGUCUCAAAAAACAAACAACAAACAAACAAAAAGGAAGGGGCUAGAGAGAAAGCUUAAUAAGAAUAUAUAGGGGGCUUGAGUGGUUACUGUUUAUAAUGAGCAUGGUUUAAAAAAAUGCCUUUUAGACAUGUAAAAAUAGCUUAGUCAGGAUCUCCACUACACGCAAGGCACACCCGAUAACCAGAACUCAGUGAUAUCACUCACUCAAGAUAACCAGACACAGUUCUUGAAUACCAUGAUGCCCACUGGACAGUAUUUAAGCAAGGACAAGAACCAUGCUCUGCUCUGCACAUCUGGAGAGAUGCCACCUUGAUCUGCUCCCCCCAGGAUCCGGACCCUCAAAUCAGAGACUUCCAUUAGAGACUGGACCUAAUUUUCAGCUAAGAUAUGUCACAGGUGAGCAGCCUUGAGAAGAUAGGCUAAGGACCAAAGUUAGUAAUUUAGAGUGUGAACAUUUGUGAUAAUAAAAUAUAAAUUUUGUUAUACUAGUUACGUGAAUCUAUCUUCAUGCUUGCGACACUGCUCUUCUACAGGACCUGAGUUCAAUUCCCAGCACCCACAAGACAGCUUACAACCAUGGUUCCAAGGGAAUGCAGCGCCCUCUUCUGAUUUCUACAGGCACUACACCCAUGCAAUACACAGACAUGCCAGUGAAAUACCCGUACAUAUAAAAUAAGAAUAUAUAUGGGGCUUGAGGGAUGGCUCAGGAGUUAAGAACCCUGGCUGCUUUUCCAGAGGACCUGGGUUCAAUUCCUAGUUAGCAUCAACAUGGUCACUUACAUCUAUCUAUAACUCCAGUUACAGGGGUCUGACACCUUCACACAGGCAAAACACCAAAGAUCAUAAAAGAUAAUUUCUUAAUGAAAAAAAUAAGAAUAAAUCUUUUUAAAAUAAAAAGACAGUGUGGAGCACUUGCCUAGCAUGCAUGAGGCCCUUGGUUUACUUGCCAGUACUUAAAGCAAACCUUAGGCAAUGCUUGCUUUCUUUGCUGCUGCUAUCAUGAAAUACUGACUAAGCCAGGCAGUUGUGGCAGGCAGAUCUCUAAGUGUGAAGUCUACAAAGUGAGUUCCAGGACAGCCAAGGCCACACAGAGAAACCCUGUCUUGAAAAAAAACAAAAUAAAACCAACAACACAAAGUCCCCAAAACAAACAAGCAAACAAAAAACACUCAAAUGAAAAGCAACCGGGGAGGAAAGUGUUUAUUGGGUUUUCUAUUCCAGGUCACAAUUCAUCAUCAUCCGAAGAAGGCAGGGCAGGAACUCAAGACAGGGACUUGGUGGCAGGAACCAUGAAGGAAGGCUAUUGCCUGGCAGACAGAGUAAUAUUCAGUUAGCUUCCUUAUCUAGCCCAGGACCACCUCUACAUAGGGAAUGAUACUGCCCAUGGUGAGCUGGACUUCCUCCUCCUCUUCCUCCUCCUCCUCUUCUUCUUCCUCCUUCUCCUCCUCUACUUCCCCUUCCUUAUUUAUUUAUUUAUUUAUUUAUUUAUUUAUUUAUAGACAGGGUUUCUCUGUAUAGCUCUGGCUGUCCUGGAACUCACUUUGUAGACCAGGCUGGCCUUGAACUCAGAGAUCUGCCUGCCUCUGCCUCCCAAGUGCUGGAAUUAAAGGUGUGUGCCACCACCGCCAGGCUUUCUUUUUAUUUUUGAGACAGAGUCUCUGACUGUCCUGGAACUCUUCACAAUGUAGACCAAGCUAACCUUGAACUCACAGAGAUCCAACUGCCUCUCAAGUGCUGGGAUUAAAGAUUUACUCCAUCAUGCUCAGCUAGGCUGGACCCUCUUAAAUCAAUUAAAAAUCAAGACAGUCUCAUGUGCUCAUACCAACGUGAUAAAUUGCUCCAUUGAGCCUCCUUCUUCAGGUGACUGUAACCGAUGAUAAGUUGACACUGUAUACUGGCUGGUUUUGUGUGUCAACUUGACACAAGCUGGAGUUAUCACACAGAGAGGAAACUCCCUUGAGGAAAUGCCUCCAUGAGAUCCAGCUGUAAGGCAUUUUCUCAAUUAGUGAUCAAGGGUGGAAGGGCCCAUUGUGGGUGGGGCCACCCCUGGGCCAGAAGACCUGGGUUCUAUAAGAAAGCAAGCUGAACAAGCCAGGGGAAGCAAGCCAGUAAGUAGCACUCGUCCAUGGUCUCUGCAUCAGCUCCUGCUCCCUGACCUGCUUGAGUUCCAGUCCUAACUUCCUUGGUGAUGAAUAGCAGUAUGGAAGUGUAAGCCGAAUAAACCCUUUCCUCCUCAACUUGCUUCUUGGUCAUGAUGUUUUGUGCAAGAAUAGAAACCCUGACUAAGACAAAUUGGUACCAGCAUAGUGGGGUAUUCCUGUGACAACCUGACCGUGUUUUGGGGAGGACUGUGGAAGGACUUUGGAACUUUGGCCUAGAAGAGCCAUUGGGUGUUAAGAGCUCUGUGGGAUGUUGUGUAGGAGCUUGGAAGAUAAUGUUAAGAACAGUGAAGAAAAAUGGAGGCCUGGCUUGUGAAAUUUCAGAGGGAAGAUUAAAGACUCUUACCAGGGCCAUUGCAGUUUUGAUUGUGAAGAUUCUGUGGUUCUGGUUAGCUGGGGCUGAAGAAUCAGCAGUGAUUAACAAGAUACCAGAACUACUAAAGCAAUCCUUUGCAUUACUGGGACUAUUGAUGCUGGUUAGCUGGAGCUUAGAAAUUAGCAGUGAUUAAGAAGAGACCAGCAUCACUGAGCUGAAAUCUUCUGGGAGUUUUUUUCUGAGAGUACAAAGAAACUGUGUUCCAGAGGCAGCCAAGGUUGUACCUUGUGCAGCAGCGGGGCUUGGUAAUGUGGGUAAUGUGUAAGAGUCACCCAGGUGGUACUGGUUUUGAAGGCAUGAAGGGGUCAUGAAGAGCAGUUGAGGCUUGGCACUAUGAGAGACCAUGGAAGGCCAUUGGUGAAGGUGCAGCCUCAGUUGCAGUUGAUGGCCCAGGACUGAAGGGGUCAUGCAAAGGAGUUGAGGCUUGGCACCAUGAAGAGAGCCUAUGAGAGGCUAUUGGUGAAGCCUAGAUGCAGUGGAAGACAGCAGUGUUUGGGGAUGCCAGUACCAUGAGAUGACCACCAAGAAUAACAGCAGCAGUGGAGUACAGGCAGCUGGAGCCUAGAAGACAAAGUGUGAGCUACUAAGGGCAGAGCUGGAGAAGUGACACAGCCCUUGGAGGAGCCCAGAAGAUUGUGAGUGGGUCCCAGACAUUGAACAGUUAGAGUUUGAUUUUGAUUGUGACUAUGCCCUGAUACUUUUCCCUCUUGAAGUAAGAAAGUAUUUUAAUGGCGCUCACGGUUAAAAGACUUGGAACUGUAAAAAGACUUUGAAUUUUAAGAGAUUGGAUGUUUUAAGGGGAUUGAAAUUUUAAUAUGUAAGAAUUUGCAAAGACUGUAGGACUUCUAAAGUUAUUUAGAUCUUGGGGAUGAAUAAGAAAGUAAGGGUUGAAGCUUAAUAGUGAUGUGUGUGUGUGUCAAGGGAAUAGAAUCCUAAGACACAUUGCUAACCAGUCAGGUGGUUUCCUCAAAGCCUGGACUUCCAGCUUCUCCUGGACCCUAAACCAUGCUGACGGCAGGAGCUCCACCAUAGCUUCUGCCCAGUUCUCUGGCUAUCUUCCCAAGUCUUGGGCCUUAAGAGCUGCAGUGAUAGAGGGAAGAUUUAAACCUACAACCCAGCUCCCAGAGGCCACCACCCUGUAGCUAGUCCUAGGGGAAAUCUUUGAGAGAUGAAAAGCCUAAGGCCUAGCAGGUGGACAGACAGACUGCCAUGCCAAAGACAGUGACUGUGCACUGUGGGGGAAACGGCCUGGGAGCCAGAACUCGCAGACUAGGUUGGAAACUUCCUAUUUCUUUGACCUAGGGUUCCCUCUGUUCAGAAUGCUCUCGCCCUUUCUCUCUCAGCCUGACACUUCCUCCUCCCGAAAGUCCUAUCCCUGGCCAGGACCAGAAAGCACUCUAUUCAUCUGGCUCCUGAAUCCUGAUCCAGGAAGAAGGGGAAGCUGGGACUAUGCAGAAGAAGAGACCAAAUCCACAGUGACAUGGAUCCCAUGGGAGAGCCCGGCUUGUGCUAUCCCUCACCAGGAUUUCUCUGUGUAGCCCUGAAACUUGCUCGGUAGACCAGGCUGACCUCAAACUCACAGAGAUCCACAGGCCUCUGCUGGAAUUGAAGCUCUGGGCCACCGCUGCCACCAAAUCUUUUCCUUAAACGGCCCAGAGCUCAGCCUGUGGCCUCGGUGGGAACAAAGUAAAAUCUUGCAAUGAAGGCAGUCACAAUGCUGAGACUCCUACAUGUCACCAUCUACAUGGGUAAGAUUCCUACUAUGUCACUCACUAUGUCACUCGCAGAUAAUGUGGCCUUGGGCUAGUCAUUUCUGUGCCUGUGUUUUCUCAGUGGUGAAAUGAAGCUGACUAUGGUCCCUCUGAGGCCAGUGCAAUGGCUCAGUGAGUAAAGGUGCUGGCCAGGGCCUGGCAAUCUGAGAUCAAGCUGCGGGACCCACAGGGCAAAAGGAGAGAACGGAUUCCCACAAGUUGUCCUCUGACCUCUGUAUGUGUGUCCUGGCAUGUACAAACACAUGUGCGGACUUGCACGUGCACACACAAGAUACACACACACACACACACACACACUCACACUCACAAAUAAAAAAAGUUCAAUUCUUCUGCAGAGAGAGGUGUGAGGAAGAGCUGAGUCAGCACAGACAGGAUGCUUCUCUGGAGUGCUGGCAUGCGUGUAGAUCCUACAGCACCUAGCACCCUCAGUCUGGCCUCCUCGACUCUGGACUGCUGUAGACAAUCGCCAUGGGAUUGGUGGUGCGGAUGGAGAAUGGUCAGUGUUUACCAACAGGUGAUCAGGGCGGGAGGAUCGGUUGACACCUCUCUUGCAGAGCUGGGGGAGUCUCUCAGGACGAGUUUGUUCUCGUGAUGCUUAGUUCUGUUCUUGUGGACCUGGAUUCGUUUCCUUAAAAGCAGGUUCUCAUGAGUUGUGCCUGAUCCUUGGGUUUCUCCUCUUCCCCGUGCCUGCCCUUCCAAUUCUCUGUAAGCACAAGGCCAAGGUGGCUUCCUAGAAGCCAAGUGGAUGCCCACACCAGGCACUUGGACUUCAAGCCGCCACUGUUGAAAGCCAAAUGCUCUUCUUUAUAAGUUACCCUACCUCUGCCAUUCUGUCAUAGCAAUGGAAAGUGGACUAAGAGUCUUGAUAAAUUAAAAGAAUAUCUUUUUUUUUUUUUGA